GCGACUUAUAUUCUGUAGCAAGGUUAACCGUAUAGGGGAGCCGCAGGGAAACCGAGUCUUAACUGGGCGUUAAGUUGCAGGGUAUAGACCCGAAACCCGGUGAUCUAGCCAUGGGCAGGUUGAAGGUUGGGUAACACUAACUGGAGGACCGAACCGACUAAUGUUGAAAAAUUAGCGGAUGACUUGUGGCUGGGGGUGAAAGGCCAAUCAAACCGGGAGAUAGCUGGUUCUCCCCGAAAGCUAUUUAGGUAGCGCCUCGUGAAUUCAUCUUCGGGGGUAGAGCACUGUUUCGGCUAGGGGGUCAUCCCGACUUACCAACCCGAUGCAAACUACGAAUACCGAAGAAUGUUAUCACGGGAGACACACGGCGGGUGCUAACGUCCGUCGUGAAGAGGGAAACAACCCAGACCGCCAGCUAAGGUCCCAAAGUCAUGGUUAAGUGGGAAACGAUGUGGGAAGGCACAGACAGCCAGGAUGUUGGCUUAGAAGCAGCCAUCAUUUAAAGAAAGCGUAAUAGCUCACUGGUCGAGUCGGCCUGCGCGGAAGAUGUAACGGGGCUAAACCAUGCACCGAAGCUGCGGCAGCGACACUAUGUGUUGUUGGGUAGGGGAGCG
Molecule: ribosomal RNA, 614 nt
Filed under: Klebsiella pneumoniae
Lineage: Bacteria; Pseudomonadati; Pseudomonadota; Gammaproteobacteria; Enterobacterales; Enterobacteriaceae
Description: partial 23S ribosomal RNA
Rfam family: Bacterial large subunit ribosomal RNA
Source: RNAcentral